Syngnathoides biaculeatus (alligator pipefish) is the source of this 7728-nucleotide RNA transcript. It is a transcript of the gene named pleckstrin homology-like domain, family B, member 2b, with no coding region annotated. The transcript is spliced from 21 exons. Lineage: Eukaryota; Metazoa; Chordata; Actinopteri; Syngnathiformes; Syngnathidae. The record is from RefSeq and is a predicted model, not a curated record.
GGAGGGUGUGUGUCCUUAUCCACUGAGUUGAAGAUACUGAGCAUGUGUAGGGGGUUUGUGUGUACGUGUGUUUCUGAUAGAGAGGGAGAGGGAGAGAGAGAGAGAUUCCCUCCCCUUGUUUCAGUCCUUCUCCAGCUUGACUUCCAGCUGCUGUCACAUUCCUCGACACGUAGCUGAUGGUGCUUGCUUUUUUGUUUGUUUGUUUUUUUUAACAUUUAUGUAUAUUUUAAGUACCUGCUUCUGUGUGCCAUUGUGGCUGUGUGUGUAUGCAUAAGGGAGGAUGGAAAGUCUUUUAUAGGAUGCCCAUGCUGCACAGGCAAGGAUUCUGCUGUCAAGAAAGGGACUAUAAUCGCAGCAAGAAACGUUUGCGGUUUUAGGGGGUAUCUGUGGGGUUAAAUCUGGAUCAUCAAGUGGCUGGAUUCUGUUCUAAAGGAUGACAGAAGUGGCCUGUCCAGCUUUAAUCAUGGACUCUGAGAUUAUGUCCCAACCUGAAUCAGAUCAGAUUCUCCCAGUUGAACACAAGUCUGGACCUCUGGAUCUGAUUGACACAGGGAAGUGUCUCAAGGUCCAAACAGUCACACCUCAUCUGGUUAGCCUGGGCAGUGGAAGACUGAGUGUGGCCAUUACCCUGCUGCCGCUAAAAGAUGGUGUGACCCGCAUAGGGCGAGAAGAUGCCACAAUCCCUCAAGAUAUCACCAUCCAGGGCCCUGGAAUUGAGGCGGAACACUGCCUCAUCUUCAAUGAUGGUGGUGUUGUUACGCUGGACCCCUGUGGUCACCUCUGCAGUCUGGAUGGAGUACAGGUCAAAGUGCCCACACCACUCACACAGGGGUAUUCCUUGUGUCUUGGUAAGUCCUACUUCUUUCGGUUCAACCAUCCUGAGGAAGCAGGUAGAAUGAAGAGCAUGCUUCAUCAAAAAAGCCCUGUGUCCGCCCUCGCCUACAAUACAGACUACCUGAAGUUUAGCAGCGAUUAUAGCCAUUCUGUUGUUGGUGGGGCCAGCAGCACUCGGGGCAUGCGCUCAGCCUCCGAGCUCAGGGAUUUGAUGGACACCCUGCAGCGCAAAAAAAAAGCUCUGGAAAACAGCCUGAGAGCCAAUGGGAAUACCAACGCCUCGUACUUCAUUGUGACACAGUCUCCCCCCACCACACCCAUCACAUCACUUUCCUCAUUAGUCCAUCAGGAACAUGCAAAACGUUUCUACAGUACAGAUCGUCCUCCCUUGUCCUUGAAAUCUGUGCCUCCUCCCUCCCCAUCUCGACGUUCAGACCAUUCCUCUUUACUCUCACGUACUUCCAUUAGUCGCAACCAGGACAACUUGGGCACCAGUGAGAACAGACAUCUUCAUAACACAGGCUCUUCUCCAUUAUUGUCUACAUGGAAAGGCAGGGCCUCAUCCACCUCUGUAUUGGGUGGUGAUAAUUUACUCCUCUCUCUUCCGCCUCCUUCUUCCUCAACCUACUCUCCAUCAAACGGUGGCGCUGUAAGCAUGCCUUCAAGCCCCCGUCUUGGACGACGUAGCUAUGGUAGUCAUGAAGUGACACCAAGCACUCGAACAAGGAAAUACUCUGCUGGUUCUGUAAAUGGGAUGACGGGAAGCGGGCACAGUCGCUCGCUGCCUCGCCUCUGUCCGUCCCCAUCUCCCCGAGACAACAACAAUGGCAAUAUGACAUUAUCGACAGUGGAGCCGCAUUGCUCUGAUUAUUACAAAUUUAGCAAAGACCAUUACAAUGACAGCUUAAACACCAGUCUAGACCUCAACUACAACUCCAGUAACUCCAACCAGCAACCCUCAAAUAGGAAUCAAAUCAACACUACAACAAAAGGAGAGGGUGUCGUUUCCAUCUCACUCUCCUCAAUUAAGAACUCAUCCUGCAACGGGAUCACUUCCACCAAAAUAUCACCACCUGAUGUUACAAUUCCGUCCAAGACAGGGGGGUCCUCAUCCCCUCGUGUAGCCAAGAAACUCAGCCUGACUUCCACAAGCUCAGUGGGCUCCAUCAUUUCCACGAGCACUAGUCCUCCUGAAAUAGACCUUUCUUUAGGCGAAGGGGCAAAACCUUGGGUACACUUUGAACCGACCAGUACCCUGGGUUUCGGACGCAGUGAGAAGAGGUCAUCAUUUGGAAAAGCUGGAGUGACCUCACCAGGUGGCUUUAGGGAAAGACAGGGGAGUAUCACCUCACUGAGUGGGAAGGAGGAGCUGAGUGACUACCAUCAUCAUCAAAAAGAGGAGCGGCUCCGUGAGCAGGAGGUGGAGAGACUGGAGCGACAGCGUCUUGAGACCAUAUUGUCCCUGUGCUCAGAGCUGGACCACGAUGGUGGUGGCUCGGUUACAAAUCCAGCAUCUGCUGUGGCAGACCUCCAAAAGAUCAAUCAGGAGCUUCAGAAGCUUCAGCUAAAUGACAAUGAUAACGAUGAUGACACGACCUCCGUUUUCUCUGGACCCUCAGUCCUUACUAGCCCCACAGAGAACGGACUGAUUCCAGAGAAUGGCAACUACGACACAGAUCUUCUGGUACGACAGAGGCGCAGCAACAACAGCAGGGCAGAAUCGCUGGCUGUCAGUCUGUGCAGUUUUGCCCCAUCACCUUCACCGCUUGCACCGAGGAUAAACGAGGCACACGAUGAUGCAGUCCACUGCUUUAGACAGGAAGCCAGAGCCUCAGAGGAGGAAAUAAGGCGAGUGGAGGAGGAGAAGAUUCAGGUCCUAAACAACAUGGAGGAGCUGGAGCAAAAAAUUAAAGAUUUGGACAACCAAAUGGAGGAAUCUGCCCGAGAGGUGGAGGUAGAACGAGCCCUUGUUAAGGCGGAGCAGGAAUCAGAGUUAGCUUCCCUCCAGCAGGAAAAAGAUGCCGUGGAUGCACUUCACAACAAAAUAGAUGACAUGGAAACCAAAUCCCAACAUGAAAAAGACGAGGCAUGCGAGUUGCUGCAGGGAGAAAAGGGCAGAGUAGAGAGAUUGGCUCAGAUUGUGUAUGAGCAGCGCUCCCAGCUGGACAGCUGCCCUGAGGCCACCAAGGAGCCCCUGCAGGAGCAGCUAGCCAGGGACUUUGAGACACUUGAGAUGGAAAAAAAGCGCUUUGAGGACCUAGAGUUCCAACAGCUGGAGAGAGAGAGCAGGCAGGACGAGGAGAAGGAGAACCAGACACAAAUGCUUCUCCAAGAAAUUGCAGACUACCAGCGCAGCACUGUCACCCGCAAGGAGCGACUUUUGACUCUGAAGAAGCAAGAGGCAGAGAUUACAAUGCAGGCUGAGCGAGAGAGAGAAAACUUCCUGAAGGAAAGGAGCAACCUUGAAGCGAUGCUGCAAAGGGAGAAAGAACAUCUUGCACCUCUUGAUCGAAAAUAUGCUGACCUUACUGGUGGCCAAACUUACACGUUAAGAGAGCAUUUCCGAUUGCUGGAGGAGAGGAAGCAAUCUGGCAAGGUUGGCGCAUCCCAUUUUAGUGGUACGUUACCAAGGAAGAGAACAACAUCCGCCACGAUAUCUCAAUUCUCAAGUGCAACACUCGGACGCAGUUUCCCAACUAAGGCACAUCCACCAUUGGUACAGAGCACAAGCUGUGGCAGUAUUCUUCCCAGAAUUCUAUCCUUAUCCAGCAAGGAAACCGAAAGUAGACGUCUGCAAAAAGGUCAACCGAGCUCUCGAGCAUCGUCCCAGACUAACGUCUACCUCAAUGCCUUUGACUACCGUGACAACCAGACCUUCGACACAUUAAGUGUGGAUAGUACUGACUCAAUUGAAACCAGCAUCUCUGCAUGCUCUCCUGACAACAUCUCCAGGAGCUCAAAGGAUUACUCCCAAAAUACAUCCAGUCAUCAUCAUCAGGGAUCACACGCAGAAUUCUCUUCAUCUAAAACCUGGGGAACCCAAAGUUGCGUCCUCUUCCCGCUGCUCUUCUCACGCUACAUGAACUACUGCACCUCAAAGCACCCGGCUGUCAAACUCCAGAAGUUCACAGAUGACACCACAGUUAUCAGGCUCAUCGAAGACAGCGAUGAGUCUGCGUACCGACGGAGGCACACCACAGCAGCCCCUCAUGCUCUCGAACUGUCGUGUCAACCAUCGAUACCUUCAAGUUCCUGGGAAUUACAGUCUCACAGGACUUGAAGUGGGAGAAAAAAAAAAAACCUCUAUCCUUUCCAUCCAUCUAUCCAUCAAAGAAUGUACAGUGAAGAAAAUCUUGCGGCUUCUGAGGACGCAUGGCCUGGCAUGAGAGCUGCUGUAACACUACACAGGAAUCAUCGAAUCAAUGCUGUGUACUCCAUCACAGUCUGGUUUGGGGCUGCCUGCCACAAAAAAAGGACAAACUCAGACAGCAACAGACAAUAAAAACUGCUGAAAGGAUUGACUGCACCAUCCUACCCACCCUUGAAGACUUGCAGACCACCUGAACUAAGAUGAGUAGCCAGGAUCCAAUCAGACCCUCCACAUCCUGGCCACCAGCUCCUUCCCCCCAGUAGAUGCUACCUAACAAUGCAAACCUAAACUGGCAGGCAUUGCAACAGGUUCUUCCCUCUUGAAAUUAAAUUCUUGAACAGCUAACUUACAAUUCCACUGCAUCAUGCUUUCAGUUUGCAGUGGGUGGCUGUGUGCAAGGUUGGAGUGAGGUGAAUUGUUCUUGGAGAGAGAGCUUAUGAAACGCCACCUAUCAUUUGUAUCAGCAAGGUAAGGGCUUGGUUGUGUUGUUCAAAGAGGAUGCUCCGUUUGGUGAUUGUUUGGCAGAGGGGGUCCUUCUCCGCUGGGUGCAUGACGUAGUCAGACUUUGCUGUCACGGAUCAGGUUGAAAGGUGGACCCAGGUGCAGAGAGAACUGAGAGGUAAGGUUGUAAAUGAGUAUUUUUUGACCAGGAAGUGAACCAAGGAACUUAGAUGACAGUGGUCUUGUUCACGAGUGAGGGUAGAAUGGAGCGGGAGAUCGACAGGCAAAUAGAUGCAGUGUCUGGAGUGAUGCGGACUUUGUACCAGUCUGUUGUGGUAAACCGAGAGCUAAGUCGAUAGGUGAACAUCUCAAUCGACCAGUCAAUCCAUGUCUCAUCUAUGGUUAUGAGCUGUGGGUUAUGACCGAAAGAACAAGAUCCCGGAUACAAGCGACUGAAAUGAGUUUUCUCCGCACGGUGUCUGGGCUCACACUUAAAGAUAGAGUGAGAAGCUUGGUCAUCCGAGAGGGGCUCAAUGUCGAGCUGCUACUUCUCCGCUUUGAGAGGAGCCAGAUGAGCCAGUGGCUGGGGUAUCUGAUCCAGAUGCCUCCUGGACACCUCCCUGGUGAGGUGUUCCGGCCACGUCCCAGCUGAAGGAGACCCCAGGGAUGACCCAAGACACGCUGGAGAGACUAUGUCUCACAGCUGGCCUGGGAAUCCCUGGGAACCCCGCUGGAUGAAGUGGCUGGGGAAAGGGAAGUCUGGCUAUACAGCUACUGCCCCCGUAACCCGAUCCCGAAAAGCAGUAGAAGAUUGAUGGAUGAAAGGAAAAAAUAAAAAUGGGAAAAAAUAGGCACGAGAUUUGCAGCCCCCAAAUUCCACCAAACGUAAACAUCCUAAAAAGUAAGUACAUUUCUUUCGGCUUGUCCCGUUAGGGGUCACCACAGCGUGUCACCUCAGAUGAACGCUCAUAUUUAUUUGGCAGUUUUUACGCCAGAUUCCCUUCCUGACUCAACCCCUCUUAGGGAGUGGAUACCCAAGCAAUAACCGAACUCACGAUCCCUAGUUUACCAAACCAAUGCUCUAACCUAUUGGCUAUUGCCGUAGGACCUUCUUGGCAUCCUAUUGGCUGGGAGGGACGUCAGUCUUUACCCAUGAUGCCUUUCAAGCGUCACCGCAUCACAUCCUGUUACUUUCAUAAGGUGUCACACGCUAGCACACAUGGGUGAAGUAAAACUUUUGUGGUUAAUUUUUUUUAUUUUUUUUUUAUUCAUCUUUCUUCACCAUGGGCCCCAAGAAAAAUUUGUGGAAUGAAGUAGUGUGCAUGUGUACAUUUGUACAUAUGAUUUCUCUCAUCUGUAAUACUUUUGCUUCCUCCUGUGUCCCCCACAAUGCCUUUUGCUUCUCACUCACCCUUCUCUUCACAUAGUCGCCCAAUUACAAAGGGAAAUUAACAUAAUUUUUAUUAUUCUUGAGAUUAUGUACUUUGCUUAUUUUUGGGUGGAGUGGCUGGGAACAGAUUAAGCUACAGUGAUGGAAAUAAGUAUUUCAAGACCCUGCUAUAUUGUAAGAUCUCCCACUUAGAAAUCAUGCAGGGGUCUGAAAUUUAUCAUAGGUGCAUGUCCACUGUGAGAGAGAUAAACUAAAAAGAAAAAUCUAGAAAUCACAAUGUAUUAUUUUUUUAAGGAUUUAUUUAUGUGAUACAGCUGCAAAUAAGUAUUUGAACACCUGAGAAAAAUAAUGUUAAUAUUUGGUACAGUAGCCUUUGUUUGCAAUUACAGAGGUCAAACAUUUCCUGUAGUUGUUCACCGGGGUUGCACACACUGCUGGAGAGAUUUUGGCCCACUCCUCCACACAGAUCUUCUGUAGCUCAGACAGAUUUCUGGGCUGUCGCUGAGAAACACGGAGUUUCAGCUCCCUCCAAAUAUUUUCAAUUGGGUUUAGGUCUGGAGACUGGCUAAGCCACGCCAGAACCUUGAUAUGCUCCUUACGGAGACACUUCUUGGUUUUCCUGGCUGUGUGCUUCGAGUCAUUGUCAUGUUGAAAGACCCAGCUACGACCAAUCUUCAAUGCUCUGACUGAGGGAAAGAGGUUGUUCCCUAAAAUCUCACAAUAUAUGGCCGCUGUCAUCUUCUCCUUAAGACAGUGCAGUCGUCCUGUUCCAUGUACAGAAAAACACCUCCAAAGCAUGAUGCUACCAACCCCAUGCUUCACAGUAGGGAUGGUGUUCUUGGGAUGGAACUCAACAUUCGUCUCAUUAGUGGAAUUAUGACCAAAAAGUUCCAUUUUGGUCUCAUCUGACCAUAAAACUUUCUCCCAUGACUCCUCUGUAUCGUCCAAAUGAACAUUGGCAAACUUAAGGUGGGCCUUGACAUGUGCUGGUUUAAGCAGGGGAACCUUCCAUGCCAUGCAUGAUUUCAGACCAUGACGUCUUAGUGUAUUACCAACAGUCACCUUGGAAACGGUGGUCCCAGCGCUUUUCAGGUCAUUGACCAAGUCCUGUCGUGUAGUCAUGGGCUGAUUCUUCAUCUUUCUAAGGAUCAUUGAGACCCCACGAGGGGAUAUCUUGCAUGAGGCUCCACUCCGAUUGAGAUUGACCGUCAUGUUUAGCUUCUUCCAUUUUCCAAUGAUUGCUCCAACAGUGGACCUUUUUUCACCAAGAUGCUUGGAGAUUUCUCUGUAGCCAUUUCCAGCCGUGUGGAGUUGUACAAUUUUGUCUCUGGUGUCUUUGGACAGCUCUUUGGUCUUGGCCAUGUCACAAGUUUGAGUCUUACUGAUUGUAUGGCGUGGACAGGUGUCUUUAUGCAUCGAACGACCUCACACAAGUGCAUCUGAUUCAGGAUAAUACAUGGAGUGGAGGUGGACAUUUUCUAAUGAUUGCUCCAACAGUUAAUCUUUUUUCGUCAAGCUGCUUGGCAAUUUCUCCGUAGGUGUUCAAAUCCUUAUUUGCAGCUGUAUCACACAAAUAAAUCGUUAAAAAAAAUCAUGAAUUGUGAUUUCUGGAUAUUUCUUUUUAGAUUAUCUCUCUCACAGUGGACAUGCGCCUACUUUGAAAAUUUUAGCGCCCUCCAUGAUUUCUAACCGG